CCUACGGGAGGCAGCAGUAGGGAAUCUUUCACAAUGGGCGAAAGCCUGAUGGAGCAACGCCGCGUGCAGGAUGAAGGCCUUCGGGUUGUAAACUGCUUUUAUAAGCGAGAAAUAUGAUGGUAACUUAUGAAUAAGGAUCGGCUAACUACGUGCCAGCAGCCGCGAUCAUACGUAGGAUCCGAGCAUUAUCCGGAGUGACUGGGUGUAAAGAGUUGCGUAGGUGGCAUAAUAAGUAGCUAGUGAAAUCUGGUGGCUCAACCAUUCAGACUAUUAGCUAAACUGUGAAGCUCGAGACCGUUAGGGGUAACUGGAAUUUCUAGUGUAGGAGUGAAAGCCGUAGAUAUUAGAAGGAACACCAAUAGCGUAGGCAGGUUACUGGGACGGUUCUGACACUAAGGCACGAAAGCGUAGGGAGCAAACGGGAUUAGAGACCCUUGUAGUC
This 442-nucleotide ribosomal RNA is filed under the name uncultured bacterium. RNAcentral describes it as "partial 16S ribosomal RNA". It matches the Rfam family "Bacterial small subunit ribosomal RNA", at positions 338 to 795 of the family's 1533-position model. The record is from RNAcentral.